GAUGAACGCUGGCGGCAUGCCUAAUACAUGCAAGUCGAGCGAACAGACGAGGAGCUUGCUCCUCUGACGUUAGCGGCGGACGGGUGAGUAACACGUGGAUAACCUACCUAUAAGACUGGGAUAACUUCGGGAAACCGGAGCUAAUACCGGAUAAUAUAUUGAACCGCAUGGUUCAAUAGUGAAAGACGGUUUUGCUGUCACUUAUAGAUGGAUCCGCGCCGCAUUAGCUAGUUGGUAAGGUAACGGCUUACCAAGGCAACGAUGCGUAGCCGACCCGAGAGGGUGAUCGGCCACACUGGAACUGAGACACGGUCCAGACUCCUACGGGAGGCAGCAGUAGGGAAUCUUCCGCAAUGGGCGAAAGCCUGACGGAGCAACGCCGCGUGAGUGAUGAAGGUCUUCGGAUCGUAAAACUCUGUUAUUAGGGAAGAACAAAUGUGUAAGUAACUAUGCACGUCUUGACGGUACCUAAUCAGAAAGCCACGGCUAACUACGUG
Molecule: ribosomal RNA, 497 nt
Filed under: uncultured bacterium
Lineage: Bacteria
Description: partial 16S ribosomal RNA
Rfam family: Bacterial small subunit ribosomal RNA
Source: RNAcentral